Non-coding RNA from Microcebus murinus (gray mouse lemur), 2711 nucleotides. NCBI's taxonomy places the organism in Eukaryota, Metazoa, Chordata, Mammalia, Primates, Cheirogaleidae. The record is from RefSeq and is a predicted model, not a curated record.
ACAAAAAAACCCAUUUCAGUUCGAUGCUGUGUUCUGAUAAGGAUUGUUGUACUGGAGUUUCUAAGCAGUUGAGGCAUUUCCUUUCCUGGAACUGUGUGGGACCAGCAAUCCACAUUCAGCAUUCUGGCCUGGUUUAUGUGCAGUUAUGGAGUAAGGCCAUAGCCUUUACCUGGCUCAUCUUCUGGAUUCCUUUUAACUCUGUGGGCCUCUGGCAGAGGUGCGGUGAAGGACAGGGCACUGAUGCCUGCUCAAUCAAAUGCAUUUAUGUGACCUCAGAACAGUUACCUAACUUUUCUUAAUCAAUCUUCAUUUCCUCAUCUGUAAAAUGGGGCUAUGUGAUAUCUACUUCAUAGCAGUACUGAGUAAAUGAAAUUUUAUUUAUGAAGUACUUGGCAGAUGCUUCAUAAUAUCAGGUUUUUCCUCUCUGAGGUGGUAAUCUCACAGUUUCAGAGCAGUAAUCAUUUGAAUCAUAUUAUGAUGAUGUCUAAUACAAUCAGAGAAAGAAUUAAAAAAUACAUGUAGAAUAGAGAAUUAGUCUAAUACAAUGAGGUAGAUAAUUAAAAUAUAUAUUUAAAUAUCUAUUUGUUUCACCUUUUACAGGAUGCAAAAUAACCUAAUUUUCCUAUCCUAGAUAGAUAUGCUUUAAAAAUAAUUGACUCGAUCAAAUUAGAUAGCUAUUUUGAUGUCCUGUAGACACAACUUGACUGUUGUUAUGUUGACCUAAUACUGUGAGAAGACUUCAGAAAUGCCCAAGGCCUAUAGGUGAUGGAAUAGUCAAAACAUGCCCUAUCCAACCAGUCUCCCAAAUUGCUACAUAGCCCCUUGAGACCCUGUGAAUCAUAGUUUAUAAACAACUAUUCAUAGAUACAGGCAUUCCCCUAGGGUAUUAUUUGUGUGGGGCUGCUAAAGAACAACUUUAAUUUUUUUCUUUUUCUUUCUUUUUUUGCUUUGCUAAGUAUUAACCUGGCUCACAGAAAUGGAGAAGGGGGAGAGAAGAAUCCAUUUAGGUAGAGAGGCUAAAAAGGCCCUUUGUAUAGAGAGGAUGGCAAAGAAAAGUCCCUAAGGAACAAGGACUAUGUGGUCCUACGUUCCUCCAUAAUCCAAGUGCCAAGGCUUGAUGUCAAGAAUAAAUGAUCCUGGUUGAUGAAGAGCAACCUGCCACUUCUUGGCUUUAUGAUACUUCCUAAAAUGGAUUUCAGGAUCUAAGAUCAGAAAACUAUGUUACUACCUCUCAAAUCCGCUCAGGUAUUAGCAGUGUAGUGCCUAUAACAGGAAAUGCCUAUUUUCACACUGAAAUUCUUUAAUUUGAUAAAAACAUUUUCAUUUUAUCCAUUUUUAGAAAAGCAGCCAGUGAACAUUUUUAAUUUUCCACAGUUGGCUUAUAGUGAAAUAGAUUUCUCAGCCUUAAUCUAGAUGAAAUAACAUUAAGUGUCUACUUUGUAUCAAUCCAUUUUCUCUACCUCAAACAUGAACAAAAAUUCUUUCAAUAAUUCAUCAGUAGAACUCAUUAGUUCCUUGAAUUGAGUACCUGCUGGACUCUGGGGAUGCCAAGAUGACUAUGACAGGGAGGCUGCCCUGGAGGAGCUCAUUUUUAGUUAGGGAGGAUACUGGAGAGAGGGGGACCAGAUUUGGAGACAAUGAUGAUAAAAAUGACAAUAAAAGUAUGUACAAAGGUUAAGAUAACACAAAAGCUAGAAUGGCCAACCUAGGAGCUUUCCAAAAAGGCUUCCAUAGAAGAGGUGAAGUUUUAGUUUAAUCUCAAAGAGUGAGAGUUUACCAGUCAGGAAAAGGAGACCUUGAAGAUCUUUGCGAAGAAAAGCAAAGGAACAGAGUUUAGAACCAAAUGCGUUUGGGGACUAGCAGGAAGCUCCAGGUAGUUAGGGUAAGGAGUGAAUGUGGGGAGAUAAUAGGAGAAAAGAAACAAGAAACAAAGGGUGAAGCAUUCCAUAGAAUAGUAGCAGGAGCCACAGGCUCUAAGAUGUGUUGUCAAGGGAACACUGUUGACAGUGAGGAUGGGCUGGAGUGAGAUGAGAGACUAGUUAGGAGUAGUCCAGGCACUUUACUUUGUAUCAGCGAUUUCACUUUAUGCUUCCAACAAUCCAGUCUCCAUUUUGAAGAUGAAGAAUCGAGAAUCCAAAGCCUAAAAAUUUACCCAAAGUCACGUAGCUGCUAAAUUGGCAAAAGUGCUAUUUGUUUCCAGCCUGAAUUGUGCUCUUUCCUAAACUUUCCAACACUUGAAAAUCAUCAUAUAAGUUGAUAAAGAGAAACUGUGAUAUAAGAGAUACCCCAUUACAAUAAGCUGUAUACUUCUUGAAUGGCAGGGAUUGAAUCUUCGUUAUCUUUCUAUGCCCAGCACCCACCAUGCCGCCAGAAGUGUUCUGUUCCUCAAACACCAAUAGUUAGUUGACUAUUAAUUUCUCCUGAGGUGGUGAGGGGACAGAAGGCAGCAAGAAGAGCAGUGGAGAAUCUACAACCAGUUUGCAAUGCUGAUGUGGUCAAGGAACUCAGAUGUCAAAGACUUUCAUGGUUAUCACUUUAUUAUAAUUAAUUCUUUUGGAUUUUUGGAAAGAUUAAAAUAAUUUACAUGAUAAUGUUUCUUUAUCAAACUCACCUUGUUAAUCUACUUCGUGGAGGAAAACCAUAGUCUCACUAAAAGUUAAUAAAUUCUUAGACUGAAAAUUGGAGUGUGUGUAAUGUUUGUAACAUUUGGC